Cebus imitator (Panamanian white-faced capuchin) is the source of this 492-nucleotide long non-coding RNA. RefSeq lists it as uncharacterized. The transcript is spliced from 2 exons. The record is from RefSeq and is a predicted model, not a curated record. NCBI's taxonomy places the organism in Eukaryota, Metazoa, Chordata, Mammalia, Primates, Cebidae.
UGCGUCACGACGCCGCCAGCUGAUCGGAGUCUGUAGCCGGUGUGUGCUGGGCGCCGAGAAGAGACAGCGCCGCCGGCCGUGGGGAGCGGACGCAGUGAUUUGCUCCCCUCCGCGCAGCAGCCCCCACACCCAGCACCAGGAGCUCGCGCCUCUCACACCCUCACCUGGCUGAGCCGCAGUAGUUCUUCAGUGGCAAGCUUUAUGUCCUCACCCCGCUAAAGCUGCCAGUUGAAGAACUGUUGCCCUCUGCCCCUGGCUUCGAGGAAGACAAGGAGGAGCUGCUUUCCCCAGCAUCUGGAAGGUGACAGAACCGGGGCUGGGAAGGUCCGCACGGCAGGGUUGGUGAUACGUUUUGGGAAAGCUGGAGAGCCUUUGCCCAGAUGGGCCCGCAAGGAGCAGUUUUUAGAUUAGCGACACUGGCUGAAUUGAGGAGGAGAAGGCUCAAACAACCCAAGGUUAGUUGGUCUUUGUGUGGCAGUGGGAAGGCGUGGA